GCGAGGUGAUGAUCCAUGUAUGAAAGUCUGUCAAUCCCCUGAUAUGUCAUGCAAGUGAUGACCCAUCAUACAUCCCGACAGGCUCUGAUCGC
Molecule: small nucleolar RNA, 92 nt
Filed under: Oryza brachyantha (malo sina)
Lineage: Eukaryota; Viridiplantae; Streptophyta; Magnoliopsida; Poales; Poaceae
Description: Small nucleolar RNA snoR14
Rfam family: Small nucleolar RNA snoR14
Source: Rfam by way of RNAcentral